Podarcis muralis (Common wall lizard) is the source of this 418-nucleotide non-coding RNA. The record is from RefSeq and is a predicted model, not a curated record. Lineage: Eukaryota; Metazoa; Chordata; Lepidosauria; Squamata; Lacertidae.
ACGGCCAGUUUUAGUGUCAUCAAUAACUUUUACUAUGAAACAUUUAUUGCGGGUGUAGUAAGGCACCAAAAACAAGAAUUACAAGAAUUACAAGGCAUUACAAUACAGAGAGCCUGGAGGUGAAGGCUGCAUGAUGGAGGAACACAACACACACCAGAUUAUCUUCCAAGGCAUUUGCUUUCAGGACCAAGUCUAUGAAUCCAAAUCAUUUCCAUUGUGCUUGGUAUAGAGAUGCAUCUUCAACCACUGGGUUUCAAUUGCUAGAAUGUUGCAGUAUGCUCACAGGGUAAUAAUGAGCAUAUUGUAGCAGCCCAGGAAUGAAUGCAUAUUCCAGAUGUACUGUAGGUUUGUAUUUCAUUGUCUAAGAAGAAACGCCAUCAAAACUUAUGUGAAAAAUAAUAAACCAACCUUCAUUCGA